RNAcentral lists this ribosomal RNA (1426 nucleotides) under uncultured organism. RNAcentral describes it as "partial small subunit ribosomal RNA". It matches the Rfam family "Bacterial small subunit ribosomal RNA". The record is from RNAcentral.
UAACACAUGCAAGUCGAACGGAAAGGCCCUGCUUUUGUGGGGUGCUCGAGUGGCGAACGGGUGAGUAACACGUGAGUAACCUGCCCUUGACUUUGGGAUAACUUCAGGAAACUGGGGCUAAUACCGGAUAGGAGCUCCUGCUGCAUGGUGGGGGUUGGAAAGUUUCGGCGGUUGGGGAUGGACUCGCGGCUUAUCAGCUUGUUGGUGGGGUAGUGGCUUACCAAGGCUUUGACGGGUAGCCGGCCUGAGAGGGUGACCGGCCACAUUGGGACUGAGAUACGGCCCAGACUCCUACGGGAGGCAGCAGUGGGGAAUAUUGCACAAUGGGCGGAAGCCUGAUGCAGCAACGCCGCGUGCGGGAUGACGGCCUUCGGGUUGUAAACCGCUUUCGCCUGUGACGAAGCGUGAGUGACGGUAAUGGGUAAAGAAGCACCGGCUAACUACGUGCCAGCAGCCGCGGUGAUACGUAGGGUGCGAGCGUUGUCCGGAUUUAUUGGGCGUAAAGGGCUCGUAGGUGGUUGAUCGCGUCGGAAGUGUAAUCUUGGGGCUUAACCCUGAGCGUGCUUUCGAUACGGGUUGACUUGAGGAAGGUAGGGGAGAAUGGAAUUCCUGGUGGAGCGGUGGAAUGCGCAGAUAUCAGGAGGAACACCAGUGGCGAAGGCGGUUCUCUGGGCCUUUCCUGACGCUGAGGAGCGAAAGCGUGGGGAGCGAACAGGCUUAGAUACCCUGGUAGUCCACGCUGUAAACGGUGGGUACUAGGUGUGGGGUCCAUUCCACGGGUUCCGUGCCGUAGCUAACGCUUUAAGUACCCCGCCUGGGGAGUACGGCCGCAAGGCUAAAACUCAAAGGAAUUGACGGGGCCCCGCACAAGCGGCGGAGCAUGCGGAUUAAUUCGAUGCAACGCGUAGAACCUUACCUGGGUUUGACAUGGAUCGGGAGUGCUCAGAGAUGGGUGUGCCUCUUUUGGGGUCGGUUCACAGGUGGUGCAUGGCUGUCGUCAGCUCGUGUCGUGAGAUGUUGGGUUAAGUCCCGCAACGAGCGCAACCCUUGUUCACUGUUGCCAGCACGUUAUGGUGGGGACUCAGUGGAGACCGCCGGGGUCAACUCGGAGGAAGGUGGGGAUGACGUCAAGUCAUCAUGCCCCUUAUGUCCAGGGCUUCACGCAUGCUACAAUGGCUGGUACAGAGAGUGGCGAGCCUGUGAGGGUGAGCGAAUCUCGGAAAGCCGGUCUCAGUUCGGAUUGGGGUCUGCAACUCGACCUCAUGAAGUCGGAGUCGCUAGUAAUCGCAGAUCAGCAACGCUGCGGUGAAUACGUUCCCGGGGCUUGUACACACCGCCCGUCAAGUCAUGAAAGUUGGUAACACCCGAAGCCGGUGGCCUAACCGUUGUGGGGGAGCCGUCGAAGGUGGGACUGGUGAUUAGGACU